AUCAAACAAGUCAGGUGGUAAGCUGAGUUGUUAACCUAAAUUCCGAGAAUUUUACAUUAUUGAAUGUUGUUGUAUAGACAAAUCAUGACUUAAAUAAAGCUACUCGGCGUGAAACAAACCUUCGUCAAGCCUUGGAGAGAGAUAUAUCAUCCCUACGCCGCGACCAUUGCUCUUCAAGAUAAGCUGCCUGAGAUCAGACACAUCUAGAAAAUAAUAGGGCAACAACACAAAGCAAGUCUCCUCUAAACUCAUACUUUUAAUAUACAACACCCAUGAUGGAGUCUCUGAAUCGCAAUAAUGGAGCGCUAGAAAUUGAGUUAGAGCUAACUUGAACAGCGGCGGCAACUCAUGGAUUCCUUCAAAACAGCAGGAAAUGAAAGACCUUAGACCUGACGAGGUGUGAGUCCUGAUGAUGUAGCCUGAAAAUAGUGAGGUCUUACUUAAUCUUUAUGGAAGAAAGUGGAAGAAGCUAAUUAUGGUUAAUCUAGUGAUUGUUGAUUUUUUUCUUGAUUAUAUGCAUCAAAUUCCUAGUUGUUUUCGAAGGAAACAAAAGUAACACCUUAUAUGAUAAGAAAUAGUAAGAGAUUUGAGCUCCUCUUCUGCUAGCACCCUCAGUUCUUAGACCUGAUACUUUCUACAGUUUACAACCAUGCAAGGUGGCUUGAGACACUUGAGACAUGUUUCACAUAUUCUAGGAUUCAUUUUUGAAUGAACUUCUGUAGAAUGGUAGUGCCAUACUUCUGCACAUAAAUUCACAAGUUAGCUAGCAGUAGGAUCAGUGAUAAGCUAAAUUAGAUCGAACUUGCACUAUUGAACAGUUCAAAACUGAAGAGUAAUACAUUUUCUGAUGCUUCUACUUUUCCCUGUUCAACCAUUUGUAGUUCAAUGUGCAGAGGCCUCUGCGUUCAUGGCAAAAGGAACUUCAUGGCGGUGUCCAAGAGGCACGUGGAUCACUCAAUGGCGAUGUGCGGCGGCAACCAAGAUAUAUGCAACAACAACCAAGGUUUUAAACAACAUCUUCAAUGUACUUUGCAAACAGUGGAUCCUUUUCCCUCUCAGAAUACUUCUUAGUCCACCCUCUUGUUGAACAUCACAUAAACGAGAUCAUUCAACUUCUUCCGACCUAAUCUGGUUCUCUUCUUUAAGUGUAACUACAACAUAAAUAUAGUUGUACAUGCCCCUGAUUGUGAUGAAUACAACUGUUACGAUGAUUGACGACAUCAUACAGGAAGGACAAUAUGUGUUCACACAAGAUCAAAAUAUUAUGUAUUGUUUGAGAUGUUGUCAAAUGAGUAAUUUUGUUUGAAAUGUUUUUUAGCUAGUCUAUAAUCCAAAGUCGAGCUCCUUGUCUACUGUAACUGUAAGUAUUACUAACAUGGCAGUAGGGAAAUCUUGCUUCCUUUGUAUAAACAAAAGCAAAGCUUAUAGGCUUGAGUGUAGUCUGCUGCUGGACUAAAGGCCGUAGAGCUGGGGAGCGGACUGGCCAGACUGUAUGAGCUGGACUGUCGGAGGCGGAGCAUGGUGGCCAGCAAGGGGAUGGGGGCAUCAAGCAAGGCUGAC
Molecule: long non-coding RNA, 1560 nt
Filed under: Hordeum vulgare
Lineage: Eukaryota; Viridiplantae; Streptophyta; Magnoliopsida; Poales; Poaceae
Description: long non-coding RNA (HVUL_LNC001948)
Source: RNAcentral